Molecule: transfer RNA, 95 nt
Organism: Pochonia chlamydosporia 170
Lineage: Eukaryota; Fungi; Ascomycota; Sordariomycetes; Hypocreales; Clavicipitaceae
Rfam family: tRNA
About the family: Transfer RNA (tRNA) molecules are approximately 80 nucleotides in length. Their secondary structure includes four short double-helical elements and three loops (D, anti-codon, and T loops).
Source: Rfam
AACUGGGUAGUUCAACUGGUAGAGCGUCUGGCUGCAAGUAUUACUAUAGUAUCUUUAGCAGUCAGGAGAUGCAAGUUCGAUCCCUGUCCCGGUUA